UACAGAGGUCUCGAGCGUUGUUCGGAUUCAUUGGGCGUAAAGGGUGCGUAGGUGGCGCGGUAAGUCGGGUGUGAAAUUUCGGAGCUCAACUCCGAAACUGCAUUCGAUACUGCCGUGCUUGAGGACUGGAGAGGAGACUGGAAUUUACGGUGUAGCAGUGAAAUGCGUAGAUAUCGUAAGGAAGACCAGUGGCGAAGGCGGGUCUCUGGACAGUUCCUGACACUGAGGCACGAAGGCCAGGGGAGCAAACGGG
This 253-nucleotide ribosomal RNA is filed under the name uncultured bacterium. RNAcentral describes it as "partial 16S ribosomal RNA". It matches the Rfam family "Bacterial small subunit ribosomal RNA", at positions 524 to 776 of the family's 1533-position model. The record is from RNAcentral.